This 72-nucleotide transfer RNA is filed under the name Loxodonta africana (African savanna elephant). It matches the Rfam family "tRNA". From Rfam's summary of the family: Transfer RNA (tRNA) molecules are approximately 80 nucleotides in length. Their secondary structure includes four short double-helical elements and three loops (D, anti-codon, and T loops). Lineage: Eukaryota; Metazoa; Chordata; Mammalia; Proboscidea; Elephantidae. The record is from Rfam by way of RNAcentral.
GCCCUAGUGGUGCAACAGUUAAGCACUUGGCUGCUAACCAAAAGGUUGGCAGUUCGAAUCUGCUCAGUGGCU